This 627-nucleotide ribosomal RNA is filed under the name uncultured cyanobacterium. RNAcentral describes it as "SSU rRNA". It matches the Rfam family "Bacterial small subunit ribosomal RNA", at positions 110 to 770 of the family's 1533-position model. Lineage: Bacteria; Bacillati; Cyanobacteriota. The record is from RNAcentral.
GUAACGCGUGAGAAUCUGCCUUCAGGAUGGGGACAACAAUUGGAAACGAUUGCUAAUACCCGAUAUGACGAAAGUUGAAAGAUUUAUCGCCUGGAGAUGAGCUCGCGUCAGAUUAGCUAGAUGGUGUGGUAACGGCGCACCAUGGCGACGAUCUGUAGCUGGUCUGAGAGGAUGAGCAGCCACACUGGGACUGAGACACGGCCCAGACUCCUACGGGAGGCAGCAGUGGGGAAUUUUCCGCAAUGGGCGCAAGCCUGACGGAGCAAUACCGCGUGAGGGAGGAAGGCUCUUGGGUCGUAAACCUCUUUUCUCAGGGAAGAACACAAUGACGGUACCUGAGGAAUCAGCAUCGGCUAACUCCGUGCCAGCAGCCGCGGUAAUACGGAGGAUGCAAGCGUUAUCCGGAAUGAUUGGGCGUAAAGCGUCCGUAGGUGGUUCUGUAAGUCUGUGGUUAAAGCGUGGGGCUCAACCCCAUACCGGCCAUGGAAACUACAAGACUUGAGUAAAGUAGGGGUAGAGGGAAUUCCCAGUGUAGCGGUGAAAUGCGUAGAGAUUGGGAAGAACACCGGUGGCGAAAGCGCUCUACUGGACUUAAACUGACACUGAGGGACGAAAGCUAGGAGAGCG